Molecule: ribosomal RNA, 490 nt
Filed under: Orisarma sinense
Lineage: Eukaryota; Metazoa; Arthropoda; Malacostraca; Decapoda; Sesarmidae
Description: Sesarmops sinensis partial 16S ribosomal RNA
Source: RNAcentral
AACCUGCCCACUGAUAAAUUUUUUAAAGGGCCGCGGUAUCCUGACUGUGCAAAGGUAGCAUAAUCGUUAGUUUUUUAAUUGGAAUCUUGUAUGAAUGGUUUGACAAAAGAAAAUCUGUCUUUAUAAUUAUUUAUUGAAUUUAACUUUUAAGUGAAAAGGCUUAAAUAAAUUAAAAAGACGAUAAGACCCUAUAAAGCUUAAUAUUAAAUUUUUAUUUAAUUAAAUUUUGAAUUAUAAUAAAAAUUUGGUAAAUAAAUUUUAUUUUGUUGGGGUGAUAAUGGUAAAAUGAUUAUUAACUGUUAAUUUUUUUAGACAAAAAUAAGUGAAUAAGUGAUUUAUUAAUAAAGGAUCCUGUAUUAAAGAUUAAAAGUUUAAGUUACUUUAGGGAUAACAGCGUUAUUUUUUUUGAGAGUUCUUAUCGAGAAAAAAGUUUGCGACCUCGAUGUUGAAUUAAAAUAUCUAUAUAAUUGUAGCAGUUAUAUAAGAAGGU